RNAcentral lists this transfer RNA (73 nucleotides) under Acholeplasma laidlawii. RNAcentral describes it as "tRNA-Phe". It matches the Rfam family "tRNA". From Rfam's summary of the family: Transfer RNA (tRNA) molecules are approximately 80 nucleotides in length. Lineage: Bacteria; Bacillati; Mycoplasmatota; Mollicutes; Acholeplasmatales; Acholeplasmataceae. The record is from RNAcentral. RNAcentral also lists the same sequence under 1 other name.
GGCUCUGUAGCUCAGUCGGUAGAGCAGUGGCCUGAAGAGCCUCGUGUCAGCGGUUCGAUUCCGCUUGGAGCCA